GACACUAGAAGCUCUAAUGCUAAAGCUGCUACUGAUGAUAUGAUUUAUGACGGAAAUUUGUGAUCUCUUUCCUCGAGAAAAAGUGACAGCGAAAAGGAAAGACGAUUGACUGUACUUAUCAAAUUCGGAAUGCAGCACUGGGUAUGUGGAGACCCCAUAGAUACACAUCCUAAAGUGAUAUCAUUACCUUUAGGAUGUGUUGCUGGUUAACGACAUGCAUGAUGGCCUGCUUUGCAGUCCCAGCAAAGGCCAACGUAUAAGACAAGGACACUAGAAGCUCUAAUGCUAAAGCCGUUGCCGAUGAUAUGAUUUAUGAUGGAAAUUUGUCAUUUCUCUCCGCGAGAAAAAAUGUAGCAAAAUGGAAAGACAAUUGACUGUACUUAUCAAAUUCGGAAUGCAGCACUUGGUAUGUGGAGACCCCAUAGAUACACAUCCUAAACUGAUAUCAUUACCUUUAGGAUGUGUUGCUGGUUAAUGACAUGCUAAAGUCAUCCUAAUCUCCAUUCAAUUAAGCAUGGAAUGCAGUAAUGCAACUUUCUGAGCCAAUGACUUUCUAGGUAAUCGCAUCUCUGUUGAUGCAACAGGAUGCAUGAUGAAAUAGAGACCAUUUGUUAGGAUCCUUGUGUUUUUGUGAUCAGAAAGAUUUUCAUAUGAUUUCCUUUUCGUCUUAGUAUAUCUUUCUAAACUUUCCCUUCUUAAAUUAUCUUGCUUUUGUGAUUCUUAUACAAAAACUAAACCUUUUUAUAAAAUUAUCAUCUCGAAACCUAGUCCUUUUCAAAAUUUACU
Molecule: long non-coding RNA, 786 nt
Organism: Sesamum indicum (sesame)
Lineage: Eukaryota; Viridiplantae; Streptophyta; Magnoliopsida; Lamiales; Pedaliaceae
Source: RefSeq, a predicted model, not a curated record